UCUGACUUCGCGGCUUACUUCGCGAAGAAGAUCUGACUUUUCUGCCUUCACGAGACUCGGCCCCUUCUCCCUUAUACGUCGAUUCAUUAAUUUUAGACCAAGGUAACAAAAUUAGAACUUUGUAUAUGGAUUUUCUUGUUUUAUGGGUUGAAAUCAGGCUUAGAUUCGUUCCAAUUUGUGUUUUGGUGUUCAAUAAUAGCUUUUUUAGGGCUUAAAAAUUAUGAGGGCCAAACCCUAUAAUCUGUAAAAUUAUUGUGUUUUUGAUUUGUAUUAUGAAGUUGUAAUGGAGUUGGGUUCUGAAAGAUUAUUUGGUGUUAUUAUAUUUUGGAAGUAGUACUUGUUGGAGACUCGUGAAAUUUUGAAAAAUCUGCAAAAUCUACAAAAUUUUGGAAGCAACAUUGGGAAAACCAGUUUUUGUUUUUUUUGCAGAGCUUAGUGCUUUUCUUGCAGUUUGGUGAAAACCAGUUCUUGUUUUUUAAGGAUACAUAUGCAAUAUUAUAUAUUUUGAAAGAUUGUUGGUGACAAGAUGAUUUGUGAUGAAAAGGUAUAUUGUUGGUGUUUUGCUUACACUUCUUUUUCUUUGUGAAUGUUCCUGCCAUGUGCUUGCUUUUCAUUUUUGAAACCACCUAAUUGUCACAUUACUACUUCUUAACCUUCUUGUCUACUAAAUAUUCUGUAUUAUUUCACAGAUUGAACUUUCUGGGGACUAAGGCUUACUAAGGUUUACUUGAAUAUGUUUUGUAUUUGCAGCCAUGAAUAAUGCACUAUGUGAUUGUGAUAGGCCAGCUCAACUUGAAACAUCAUGGACUGAUACUAACCCGGGAAGAAGGUUUUUAUCAUGUCCGAAUUAUAGAAAAGUAAGUGUGUUAGUGUUCCAUGUUUGUCUAUUAUCUCUUUCAUUCUAUCUACUUAUACAUAAAAUUGAAAACUUCGUUGUUUACAGAGGAAUGCCUGUUAAUUUUUUGGUUGGUACGAUCCUCCAAUGUGCGACAGAUCAAGGCAAAUAAUACCUAGAUUAAUUCGAAAGAUCAAUGGAAUGGAGCAAGAGAUGGAGAACAUGCGUGUAAUAGGCAACAAAGGAAGAACACAAUUAAUUAUUUCACUUGUAUGUUCUUGGUUAUUGAUUUUAAUAAUGUUAUUGUAGAUGGAGUAAAAAUUGUCAUUUUGGUUAAUUAAACUUUAGUGUUAGUUUAUUGUAACCUUGUCAAAGAAGGACAUGUAAUCAAGGUAUAGUUGAUUUUAAUAUGAAAUACGUUAUUUACCAA
This 1265-nucleotide long non-coding RNA is filed under the name Panax ginseng (ginseng). RNAcentral describes it as "long non-coding RNA (PGIN_LNC009394)". Lineage: Eukaryota; Viridiplantae; Streptophyta; Magnoliopsida; Apiales; Araliaceae. The record is from RNAcentral.